Molecule: ribosomal RNA, 506 nt
Filed under: uncultured bacterium
Lineage: Bacteria
Description: partial 16S ribosomal RNA
Rfam family: Bacterial small subunit ribosomal RNA
Source: RNAcentral
AGUGAACGCUGGCGGUAGGCCUAACACAUGCAAGUCGAACGGCAGCACAGGAGAGCUUGCUCUCUGGGUGGCGAGUGGCGGACGGGUGAGGAAUACAUCGGAAUCUACUCUGUCGUGGGGGAUAACGUAGGGAAACUUACGCUAAUACCGCAUACGACCUACGGGUGAAAGCAGGGGACCUUCGGGCCUUGCGCGAUUGAAUGAGCCGAUGUCGGAUUAGCUAGUUGGCGGGGUAAAGGCCCACCAAGGCGACGAUCCGUAGCUGGUCUGAGAGGGUGAUCAGCCACACUGGAACGGAGACACGGUCCAGACUCCUACGGGAGGCAGCAGUGGGGAAUAUUGGACAAUGGGCGCAAGCCUGAUCCAGCCAUACCGCGUGGGUGAAGAAGGCCUUCGGGUUGUAAAGCCCUUUUGUUGGGAAAGAAAUCCAGCUGGCUAAUACCCGGUUGGGAUAACGGUACCCAAAGAAUAAGCACCGGCUAACUUCGUGCCAGCAGCCGCCGUAA